CCCUUAGAUGCUCUGGGCUGCACGCGCGCUACACUGACACACGCAACGAGUCUCCUGCCCUGACAGGGUCGGGUAAUCAUUUGAGUGUGUGUCGUGAUGGGGAUAGAGUAUUGCAAUUAUUGCUCUUGAACGAGGAAUUCCUAGUAAGCACAAGUCAGCAGCUUGUGCUGAUUACGUCCCUGCCCUUUGUACACACCGCCCGUCGCUCCUACCGAGGGGGUGAUCCGGUGAAUGAUUCGGACUCUGGUGCUUCUAGCUGCUAGAUGCGCCGGAGGAAGUUUUGUGAACCUUAUCACUUGGAGGAAGGAGAAGUCGUAACA
Molecule: ribosomal RNA, 320 nt
Filed under: uncultured eukaryote
Lineage: Eukaryota
Description: partial 18S ribosomal RNA
Rfam family: Eukaryotic small subunit ribosomal RNA
Source: RNAcentral